GGUGCUACAAGAAAAUUCAAGGGGAAUCUUCCGAAAUGUGGCGGAGGGUGAUUAACGCGUGCUUUCUCAGGAUCUAGGUCGGGGACAACAGUUGGAAACGACUGCUAAUACCGGAUGUGCCGAGAGGUGAAAGAUUUAUUGCCUAGAGAUGAGCUCGCGUCUGAUUAGCUAGUUGGUGUGGUAAGAGCGCACCAAGGCGACGAUCAGUAGCUGGUCUGAGAGGACGAGCAGCCACACUGGGACUGAGACACGGCCCAGACUCCUACGGGAGGCAGCAGUGGGGAAUUUUCCGCAAUGGGCGAAAGCCUGACGGAGCCAGACCGCGUGAGGGAAGAAGGCCCUUGGGUUGUAAACCUCUUUUCUCAGGGAAGAAGAAAGUGACGGUACCUGAGGAAUCAGCCUCGGCUAACUCCGUGCCAGCAGCCGCGGUAAUAAUCUAU
RNAcentral lists this ribosomal RNA (440 nucleotides) under uncultured Anabaena sp. RNAcentral's name for it is "bacterial SSU rRNA". It matches the Rfam family "Bacterial small subunit ribosomal RNA", at positions 60 to 529 of the family's 1533-position model. Lineage: Bacteria; Bacillati; Cyanobacteriota; Cyanophyceae; Nostocales; Nostocaceae. The record is from RNAcentral.